Molecule: ribosomal RNA, 360 nt
Filed under: uncultured rumen bacterium
Lineage: Bacteria
Description: bacterial SSU rRNA
Rfam family: Bacterial small subunit ribosomal RNA
Source: RNAcentral
UUGGCUCAGGAUGAACGCUGGCGGCGUGCCUAACACAUGCAAGUCGAACGAAGCAUUUUCCUCGGAGAUUCGUCGAAGAGGGACUUGACUUAGUGGCGGACGGGUGAGUAAUGCGUGAGCAACCUGCCCUUCAGAGGGGGACAACAGUUGGAAACGACUGCUAAUACCGCAUGAUGUCAUCGGGAGGCAUCUCCUGAUGACCAAAGAUUUAUCGCUGGAGGAUGGGCUCACGUCUGAUUAGCUAGUUGGUGGGGUAACGGCCUACCAAGGCUGCGAUCAGUAGCCGGACUGAGAGGUUGAACGGCCACAUUGGGACUGAGAUACGGCCCAGACUCCUACGGGAGGCAGCAGUGGGGAAUA